UACGUAGGGGGCAAGCGUUGUCCGGAUUCAUUGGGCGUAAAAAGCGUGUAGGCGGCCAGGUAGGUCGGUUGUGAAAACUGGAGGCUCAACCUUCAGAGGUCGACCGAAACCAUCUGGCUAGAGUCCGGGAGAGGAGAGUGGAAUUCCUGGUGUAGCGGUGAAAUGCGCAGAUAUCAGGAGGAACACCGGUGGCGAAGGCGGGUCUCUGGGCAGUAACUGACGCUGAGGAGCGAAAGCAUGGGUAGCGAACAGG
Molecule: ribosomal RNA, 253 nt
Filed under: uncultured bacterium
Lineage: Bacteria
Description: partial 16S ribosomal RNA
Rfam family: Bacterial small subunit ribosomal RNA
Source: RNAcentral